Molecule: non-coding RNA, 207 nt
Organism: Oryza glumipatula
Lineage: Eukaryota; Viridiplantae; Streptophyta; Magnoliopsida; Poales; Poaceae
Source: Rfam
AAUAAGUGCAGUUUUGCACUAUUUACGUUCAACGUUUGAUCGUUUGUCUUAUUUAAAAAAAUUUUAUGAUUAGUAUUUUUAUUGUUAUUAGAUGAUAAAAUAUAAAUAGUAUUUUAUGUGUGACUAAAUAUUUUUAAAUUUUUCACAAAUUUUUCAAAUAAGAUGAACGGUCAACGUUGAGCACGAAUAUCCACGGCUGCACUUAUU